GACGAACCGUCCAAACGUUAUUCGGAAUCACUGGGCUUACAGAGUUCGUAGGCGGUCUGGAAAGUUGGGUGUGAAAUCCCUCGGCUCAACCGAGGAACUGCGCUUGAAACUACCAGACUCGAGGGGGAUAGAGGAAAGCGGAACUGAUGGUGGAGCGGUGAAAUGCGUUGAUAUCAUCAGGAACACCGGUGGCGAAGGCGGCUUUCUGGGUCUUACCUGACGCUGAGGAACGAAAGCCAGGGGAGCGAACGGG
RNAcentral lists this ribosomal RNA (253 nucleotides) under uncultured bacterium. Its description in RNAcentral is "partial 16S ribosomal RNA". It matches the Rfam family "Bacterial small subunit ribosomal RNA", at positions 524 to 776 of the family's 1533-position model. The record is from RNAcentral.